RNAcentral lists this ribosomal RNA (550 nucleotides) under Penicillium chrysogenum. RNAcentral describes it as "eukaryotic LSU rRNA". The stretch from base 186 to 338 matches the Rfam family "5.8S ribosomal RNA". The record is from RNAcentral. Lineage: Eukaryota; Fungi; Ascomycota; Eurotiomycetes; Eurotiales; Aspergillaceae.
GGAUCAUUACCGAGUGAGGGCCCUCUGGGUCCAACCUCCCACCCGUGUUUAUUUUACCUUGUUGCUUCGGCGGGCCCGCCUUAACUGGCCGCCGGGGGGCUUACGCCCCCGGGCCCGCGCCCGCCGAAGACACCCUCGAACUCUGUCUGAAGAUUGUAGUCUGAGUGAAAAUAUAAAUUAUUUAAAACUUUCAACAACGGAUCUCUUGGUUCCGGCAUCGAUGAAGAACGCAGCGAAAUGCGAUACGUAAUGUGAAUUGCAAAUUCAGUGAAUCAUCGAGUCUUUGAACGCACAUUGCGCCCCCUGGUAUUCCGGGGGGCAUGCCUGUCCGAGCGUCAUUGCUGCCCUCAAGCACGGCUUGUGUGUUGGGCCCCGUCCUCCGAUCCCGGGGGACGGGCCCGAAAGGCAGCGGCGGCACCGCGUCCGGUCCUCGAGCGUAUGGGGCUUUGUCACCCGCUCUGUAGGCCCGGCCGGCGCUUGCCGAUCAACCCAAAUUUUUAUCCAGGUUGACCUCGGAUCAGGUAGGGAUACCCGCUGAACUUAAGCAUAU